Molecule: long non-coding RNA, 852 nt
Organism: Myotis lucifugus (little brown bat)
Lineage: Eukaryota; Metazoa; Chordata; Mammalia; Chiroptera; Vespertilionidae
Exons: 3
Source: RefSeq, a predicted model, not a curated record
GGAGAAAAGAUUGAAAGAAAGGGAAGCCAGAAGAGAGGCCAAUAAGAGGCAAGCAAAGGCCAAAGAUGAAGAAGAAGCCUUUCUGGAUUGGAGUGAUGAUGACGAUGAUGGAUUUGAUCCAAGCACACUUCCAGAUCCAGAUAAGUACAGAAGCUCUGAAGAAUCAGAUAGUGAAGAAAUGGAAAAUAAUAUUAGUGAUACCAAGAAGAAGCAGGGGAUGAGGAAAAGGAGCAACAGUGAAGUGGAGAACACGGGACUCACAAGUCGUAACAGAAAGAAGGCCAAGUGGGAAGUCUUAGAGCCGUUGGAUACGGGCCUGUCUUUGGCAGAGGAUGAAGAACUGGUGUUACAUCUGCUCAAAAGUCAAAGCUAAAUGCUUCCUGCUUCAUCUUCUCAAGACCUCUGGUCAUGGUUAUGUGGACAAGAAGUUGAAAAGCUGUCGGCUUUGGGGAAGUCAGAUAACGUGAGUCCCAGGCCCAAAGGAUGCAUUCCAGGCAGAAGUGAAAGUCCCUAAGCCCCUUUCACAGCAAACUCCGAGUGAGGGUGGAUCCUAAACGUCUUGAUCCCCUUUCCAGCAUGUGCCCUGGUAGAUUGUUGUCUUGGGCUUUAACCUGUGACAUCUUGUCACUGGAAAUGCUUUCUUUGUUUUAAUAGCAAGUUCUGGAGACCCUGUCUCAUUGUUAGGAAUUUCUUUUCUUCUUAUCUUACAAAAGUGUCUGUGCUGUUAAAUAAAAUUGCUCGCAGUUUUGAUUAUUUAAUAUCUUCAAAAGACAGAAUACAAUGGACCAGCCCUAAGAAAGACUGAGUAUUUUUGAAUUAAGAUGAUUAAUAAUAAACAUAUUUCCUAAAAAA